Molecule: ribosomal RNA, 876 nt
Filed under: uncultured marine group I thaumarchaeote
Lineage: Archaea; Thermoproteati; Nitrososphaerota
Description: SSU rRNA
Rfam family: Archaeal small subunit ribosomal RNA
Source: RNAcentral
CUGCUAUCGGAUUGAUACUAAGCCAUGCGAGUCUUUGCAGUAAUGCAAGGCAGACGGCUCAGUAACACGUAGUCAACCUACCCUAUGGACGAGAAUAAUCUCGGGAAACUGAGCAUAAUUCUUGAUAGAUCAUAAUGCCUGGAAUGGUUUAUGGUUAAAAUGAUUCGUCGCCAUAGGAUGGGACUGCGGCCUAUCAGCUUGUUGGUGAGGUAAUGGCCCACCAAGGCGAUUACAGGUACGGGCUCUGAGAGGAGAAGCCCGGAGAUGGGUACUGAGACACGGACCCAGGCCCUAUGGGGCGCAGCAGGCGAGAAAACUUUGCAAUGUGCGAAAGCACGACAAGGUUAAUCCGAGUGAUUUCUGCUAAAGAAAUCUUUUGCCAGUCAUAAAACCACUGGUGAAUAAGGGGUGGGCAAGUUCUGGUGUCAGCCGCCGCGGUAAAACCAGCACCUCAAGUGGUCAGGAUGAUUAUUGGGCCUAAAGCAUCCGUAGCCGGCUUUGUAAGUUUUCGGUUAAAUCCAUGUGCUCAACGCAUGGGCUGCCGAAAAUACUGCAUGGCUAGGGAGUGGGAGAGGUAGACGGUACUCAGUAGGAAGGGGUAAAACCCUUUGAUCUAUUGAUGACCACCUGUGGCGAAGGCGGUCUACCAGAACAUGUUCGACGGUGAGGGAUGAAAGCUGGGGGAGCAAACCGGAUUAGAUACCCGGGUAGUCCCAGCUGUAAACGAUGCAGACUCGAUGAUGCAUUGGCAUAAUAGCCAGUGCAGUGUCGCAGGGAAGCCGUUAAGUCUGCCGCCUGGGAAGUACGUACGCAAGUAUGAAACUUAAAGGAUUGGCGGGGAGCACACAAGGGUGAAGCUGCGGUUCAUUGGAGUCA